CAAUAGCGUAUAUUAAAGUUGUUGCAGUUAAAAAGCUCGUAGUUGGAUUUGUGGCUGUCACGGGCGGCCUAUCACUUAGUGUUAGUGCUUGCCUGUGUCGCCAUCCUUGGGUGGAGCCCGUGUGACAUUAGGUUGUCGUGCGGGGGAUGCCCAUCGUUUACUGUGAGAAAAUUAGAGUGUUCAAAGCAGGCUUAUGCCGUUGAAUAUGUUAGCAUGGAAUAAUAAGAUAGGACCUCGGUACUAUUUUGUUGGUUUGCGCACCGAGGUAAUGAUUAAUAGGGACAGUUGGGGGUAUUCGUAUUUCAUUGUCAGAGGUGAAAUUCUUGGAUUUCUGAAAGACGAACUACUGCGAAAGCAUUUACCAAGGAUGUUUUCAUUAA
This 380-nucleotide ribosomal RNA is filed under the name uncultured eukaryote. RNAcentral describes it as "partial 18S ribosomal RNA". It matches the Rfam family "Eukaryotic small subunit ribosomal RNA", at positions 592 to 976 of the family's 1831-position model. The record is from RNAcentral.